GAUAUACACACACAGGUACAAACACUGACAACAUACAGAAAAACAGAUACAUACAAUGAUAACAUACAUAUACACAUACUGACACACAUACAGACACGCAGAUACACACCCUGACACACAUGCAGAUACGCAUACACACAUAAACAAACACUGACAGACAUGCAGAUACAAAUACACACAGCAACACACAUUAAAAUACACACAAUGACACACAUGCAGAUACACAUAUACACACAAACUUCAUAGAGAAACAUAGAUACACAGACUGAAUUCAGAUGCACAUAUAUACACACUGACACACACACAGAUACACAUCC
Molecule: non-coding RNA, 317 nt
Organism: Pelobates cultripes (western spadefoot toad)
Lineage: Eukaryota; Metazoa; Chordata; Amphibia; Anura; Pelobatidae
Source: the annotation of a GenBank genome assembly